GCUCUCAAUUCUGCCCAAGACUAAGGCUGGCCUCGAAAAUGUCAACACUGGUUUUGGGACUGUGGGUGAAAAACUCCCGGAGUGAAGCCAUGCAGAGAAGGAAGGAUUAGAGGUUCUGAUCCCUCUGGGGUGUGGACAGAUCACCCUGCUUGCUGUGACUGAAAGAGACAAUUGGAAUCAUUGCUGUUCAACCUGCCCCAGAGAUGCAGUCCGGCAGGGAUUUUCGGGCCGGCAUCACUGCUAAGAUCAUCUGUCCCAGGAGGCUUCUCCAUCUGCCCUAAAAGAAGAUGGGGUGAUCUGCAUGAAAAGACCCCCUGCUCUUACCCCAAGAGAAAGUGA
Manis pentadactyla (Chinese pangolin) is the source of this 339-nucleotide long non-coding RNA. RefSeq lists it as uncharacterized. Lineage: Eukaryota; Metazoa; Chordata; Mammalia; Pholidota; Manidae. The transcript has 3 exons. The record is from RefSeq and is a predicted model, not a curated record.